RNAcentral lists this transfer RNA (87 nucleotides) under Binatus sp. (SeqCode). Its description in RNAcentral is "tRNA-Cys". It matches the Rfam family "tRNA". From Rfam's summary of the family: Transfer RNA (tRNA) molecules are approximately 80 nucleotides in length. Their secondary structure includes four short double-helical elements and three loops (D, anti-codon, and T loops). Lineage: Bacteria; Candidatus Binatota; Binatia (SeqCode); Binatales (SeqCode); Binataceae (SeqCode). The record is from RNAcentral.
GGGGACGUGGUAGAGCGGUUGAAUACAGCGAUCUGCAAAAUCGUACGCCGGUUGCUCGGCGCGUGGGUUCAAAUCCCACCGUCCCCG